This 252-nucleotide ribosomal RNA is filed under the name uncultured bacterium. RNAcentral describes it as "partial 16S ribosomal RNA". It matches the Rfam family "Bacterial small subunit ribosomal RNA", at positions 524 to 776 of the family's 1533-position model. The record is from RNAcentral.
UACGUAGGGGGCAAGCGUUGUCCGGAAUUAUUGGGCGUAAAGCGCGCGCAGGCGGUUCAUUAAGUUGGGUGUUUAAGCCCGGGGCUCAACCCCGGUUCGCAUCCAAAACUGGUAAACUUGAGUGUAGGAGAGGAAAGUGGAAUUCCCGGUGUAGCGGUGAAAUGCGCAGAUAUCGGGAAGAACACCCGUGGCGAAGGCGGCUCUCUGGGACGGUACUGACGCUGAGACGCGAAAGCGUGGGGAGCAAACAGG